This 2214-nucleotide long non-coding RNA is filed under the name Ananas comosus (pineapple). Its description in RNAcentral is "long non-coding RNA (ACOM_LNC038273)". Lineage: Eukaryota; Viridiplantae; Streptophyta; Magnoliopsida; Poales; Bromeliaceae. The record is from RNAcentral.
UCGAUUGAACGAGAAAAGGUACUCAUUGCAAAGUUAUACUGUUAGGGCAUAACUGAGUAGUCUAAUGUUGUUCCGGUUUUGGUUCUUGUCAAGGUUGACAUCAAUUCGUUCCAAAUUUACACUCUCAGGGCAUAAUAGAACAAUAUAAUUGGCUUUUACUCUUUGUUCGAUUGAAUGAGAAAAAGUCCUCGUUGCAAAGUUAUACUGUUAGGGCGCAACUGAGUAGUCUAAUGUUGUUCUAGUUUUCUAUCUUCUGACCAUAGACAUCACUUCGUUCCAAAUUUACAUUCUCAGUUCAUAAUAGAACAAUAUAAUUAGCUUUUACUCUUUUUUCGAUUGAUUGAGAAAAAGUACUCGUUGCAAAGUUAUACUGUUAGGGCGCAACUGAGUAAUCUAAUGUUGUUCCGAUUUUCGUUCUUUUCAACGUUGACAUCGAUUCGUUCUAAAUUAACAAUCUCGGGGCAUAAUAGAACACUAUAAUUAGCUUUUGCUCUUUGUUUGAUUGAAGGAGAAAAGGUACUCGUUGCAAAGUUAUACUGUUAGGGCGCAACUGAGUAGUCUAAUGUUGUUCCAGUUUUGGUUCUUGUCAACGUUGACAUCGAUUCGUUCUAAAUUAACAAUCUCGGGGCAUAAUAGAGCAAUAUAAUUAGCUUUUACUCUUUGUUCGAUUGAAUGAGAAAAGGUACUCGUUGCAAAGUUAUACUGUUAGGGCGCAACUGAGUAGUCUAAUGUUGUUCCGGUUUCGGUUCUUUUCAACGUUGACAUCGAUUCUUUCUAAAUUAACAAUCUCGGGGCAUAAUAGAACAAUAUAAUUAGCUUUUACUCUUUGUUCGAUUGAACGAGAAAUGGUACUCGUUGCAAUGUUAUACUGUUAGGGCGCAACUGAGUAGUCUAAUGUUGUUCCGAUUUUGGUUCUUGUUAACGUUGACAUCGAUUCGUUCUAAAUUAACAAUCUCGGGGCAUAAUAGAACAAUAUAAUUAGCUUUUACGCUUUGUUCGAUUGAAUGAGAAAAGGUACACGUUGCAAAGUUAUACUGGUAGGGCGCAACUGACUAGUCUAUUGUUGCUCCGGUUUUGGUUCUUAUAAAGGUUGACAUCAAUCCGUUCCAAAUUUACACUCUUAGGGCAUAAUAGAACAAUAUAAUUGGCUUUUACUCUUUGUUCGAUUGAAUGAGAAAAAGUACUCGUUGCAAAUUUAUACUGUUAGGGCGCAACUGAGUAGUCUAAUGUUGUUCCAGUUUUCUAUCUUCUGAACAUAGACAACGCUUUGUUCCAAAUUUACAUUCUUAGUGCAUAAUAGAACAAUAUAAUUAGCUUUUACACUUCGUUCGUUUGAUGGAGAAAAAGUACUCGUUGCAAAGUUAUACUNUCGACCCUCCCUACCUUCGAGAUGGCUAGUAAGUAGUAGGCAAGUUUUCGGAGAAGCCACGAGAAUAAGAAAUAAGUAAAUAAGAUCGAUGAAUAGGUACAUAGCUUUACCUUUUUGAUAUGACGACAGGUUAGUUGCUUACCAUUUCAUUGGAAAUGCAUUUAUAUAUCUAUGAUUGGGCAUAGUAGUGUAGCUUUACUUUCCUGUCCUUAUAGCUUAUUAUUUAUAUAUCGGUAUAUCUACUUGUGCCCACUUGGCCCUAGUGGGGAGACCGGCGGAGUCGGCGGCCGAACCUACUGGGAACUAAGGAAGUUAGUUCUCACCCCACUUUUUACAGGUCCGAGUUCGAGCUUCCCGGGCGAGCGUGAGGAUCGCGGUAAGGGCCCGGCGCCUUAGUUGCAUUAGCCACCUACCCUUUUGUGUUAGCUCUACCCUUAUUUACAUUUGAGAGUAGAUGAUGUAUAGGGUGAGGUUUGAGUGCUUGUAUUUAUGUUUUUGGAAGAAUGUAAAAGACGUACUUAAAUGUAUUGAGCCAAAUGAAUGUAAUAGGUUAUAUCUUCUCUCUUAUGUACUUGUAUAUGUUUCCAUACUUGUAUCUUGCUCUUGGUUGUUGCACUGGUGGUGCUUCUUGAUCGUGUAUUUAUGAAUUGAUUCCUGGGUAAAUUCUUAUACAUGAUCUGUUGGUUAGCCUUGGGCGGACAGGGGAGGUUCUGUCCGUUCGGCGUCUGUUCGAUGCGCCCGGGGCCGGACCAAAUUGGUAGCGGUCUCGGGGCGUGACACUAAUGUUGUUCCGGUUUUGGUUCUUGUGAAGGUUGACAUCGAUUCGUUCCAAAUUUACACUCUCN